Xenopus laevis (African clawed frog) is the source of this 139-nucleotide non-coding RNA. The record is from Rfam. Lineage: Eukaryota; Metazoa; Chordata; Amphibia; Anura; Pipidae.
GUGGCAAACUUUUGCAUGUUGCAUUAACUAGUAAUUUAACGUGACUUCAUGUUGCCACAUAAAUUAAAAAAAAAAAAGUGGUUCCUGCCGACAGGGCCUGUCCAGACAUCGGGUUCCCUGUGCGAUGGCUCCAUACAGG